AUUGCCCUAGUAACGGCGAGUGAAGCGGCAACAGCUCAAAUUUGAAAUCUGGCCCUCGUGGUCCGAGUUGUAAUUUGUAGAGGAUGCUUUUGGUGCGGUACCUUCCGAGUUCCCUGGAACGGGACGCCAUAGAGGGUGAGAGCCCCGUCUGGUCGGAUACCAAUCCUCUGUAAAGCUCCUUCGACGAGUCGAGUAGUUUGGGAAUGCUGCUCAAAAUGGGAGGUAUAUGUCUUCUAAAGCUAAAUAUUGGCCAGAGACCGAUAGCGCACAAGUAGAGUGAUCGAAAGAUGAAAAGCACUUUGAAAAGAGGGUUAAAUAGUACGUGAAAUUGUUGAAAGGGAAGCGUUUGUGACCAGACUUGGGCCCGGUUAAUCAUCCGGCGUUCUCGCCGGUGCACUUUGCCGGCCCAGGCCAGCAUCAGUUCGCUGCGGGGGAAAAAGGCUUCGGGAAUGUGGCUCCUCUAGAGUGUUAUAGCCCGUUGUGCAAUACCCUGUGGUGGACUGAGGUUCGCGCAUCUGCAAGGAUGCUGGCGUAAUGGUCAUCAACGACCCGUCUUGAAACACGGACCAAGGAGUCGUCUUCGUAUGCGAGUGUUCGGGUGUCAAACCCCUACGCGUAAUGAAAGUGAACGGAGGUGGGAGCCUCGGCGCACCAUCGACCGAUCCUGAUGUUUUCGGAUGGAUUUGAGUAAGAGCAUACGGGGCCGGACCCGAAAGAAGGUGAACUAUGCCUGUAUAGGGUGAAGCCAGAGGAAACUCUGGUGGAGGCUCGCAGCGGUUCUGACGUGCAAAUCGAUCGUCAAAUAUGGGCAUGGGGGCGAAAGACUAAU
RNAcentral lists this ribosomal RNA (829 nucleotides) under Thyronectria lamyi. RNAcentral describes it as "eukaryotic LSU rRNA". It matches the Rfam family "Eukaryotic large subunit ribosomal RNA", at positions 74 to 935 of the family's 3401-position model. The record is from RNAcentral. Lineage: Eukaryota; Fungi; Ascomycota; Sordariomycetes; Hypocreales; Nectriaceae.